GAUGAAGAACGUAGCGAAAUGCGAUAAUUAAUGUGAAUUGCAGAAUUCCGUGAAUCAUAGAGUCUUUGAACGCACAUUGCGCCUCAUGGCAUUCCGUGAGGCAUGCCCAUCUCAGCGUUAGAAAAUAUUCUCAAAUUUUAGUUUUGUGCUAAAAUUUGGAUCAUGUCAAGGAAGCUAUUACUAUUAUUGUGAUCGCUCUUUGGAAAUUGAUAGGUCUUUGAGUUGCUACUCAUAGAACGUGAUGAAUCUUUCUUCGUUCUAUUGUAAUUCACUCUGGUAGUCCUAAAACUUGUAUGCCUGUGGCAUAUCUUGUAAUUUGACCUGAGAUUGGGUAGGGAUACCCGCUGAACUUAAGCAUAUCAAUAAGCGGAGGA
RNAcentral lists this unclassified non-coding RNA (374 nucleotides) under soil metagenome. Its description in RNAcentral is "partial contains internal transcribed spacer 2 and large subunit ribosomal RNA". The stretch from base 1 to 120 matches the Rfam family "5.8S ribosomal RNA", at positions 35 to 154 of the family's 154-position model. The record is from RNAcentral.